RNAcentral lists this ribosomal RNA (468 nucleotides) under uncultured bacterium. RNAcentral describes it as "partial 16S ribosomal RNA". It matches the Rfam family "Bacterial small subunit ribosomal RNA", at positions 28 to 507 of the family's 1533-position model. The record is from RNAcentral.
GACGAACGCUGGCGGCGUGCUUAACACAUGCAAGUCGAACGGAAAGGCCCUGCUUUUGUGGGGUUCUCGAGUGGCGAACGGGUGAGUAACACGUGAGUAACCUGCCCUUGACUUUGGGAUAACUUCAGGAAACUGGGGCUAUUACCCGAUAGGAGCUCCUGCUGCAUGGUGGGGGUUGGAAAGUUUCGGCGGUGGGGGAUGGACUCGCGGCUUAUCAGCUUGUUGGUGGAGUAGUGGCUGACGAAGGGUUUGACGGGUAGCCGGCGUGAGAGGGUGACCGGCCACAAUGGGACUGAGGUACGGCCCAGAAUGCUACGGGAGGCAGCGGUGGAGAAUAUUGCACAGUGGGGGGGAGCGUGAUGCGGCAACGCCGGGUGCGGGAUGACGGCCUUCGGGUUGUGAACCGCUUUCGACUGAGACGAAGCGUGAGUGACGGUAAUGGAUAAAGAAGCACCGGCUAACUACGUG